This 488-nucleotide ribosomal RNA is filed under the name uncultured bacterium. RNAcentral's name for it is "partial 16S ribosomal RNA". It matches the Rfam family "Bacterial small subunit ribosomal RNA", at positions 899 to 1397 of the family's 1533-position model. The record is from RNAcentral.
ACUCAAAGGAAUUGACGGGGGCCCGCACAAGCAGCGGAGCGUGUGGUUUAAUUCGAUGCAACGCGCAGAACCUUACCUGGGCUUGACAUGCGCGAAGUAGAACCCGGAAACGGGAACGACUCGUCAAGGCGAGAGCGCGCACAGAUGCUGCAUGGCUGUCGUCAGCUCGUGCCGUGAGGUGUUGGGUUAAGUCCCGCAACGAGCGCAACCCUCGUCGCCAGUUACCUGUCUGGCGAGACCGCCGGGUACAACCCGGAGGAAGGUGGGGAUGACGUCAAGUCAGCACGGCUCUUACGUCCAGGGCUACACACACGCUACAAUGGUCGGGACAACGGGCAGCGAAGGGGCGACCCGGAGCGAAUCCCAGCAAACCCGACCUCAGUGAGGAUCGGAGGCUGCAACUCGCCUCCGUGAAUGCGGAGUUGCUAGUAACCGCGGGUCAGCACACCGCGGUGAAUACGUUCCCGGGCCUUGUACACACCGCCCGU